CAUCUAAGUACCCCGAGGAAAAGAAAUCAACCGAGAUUCCCCCAGUAGCGGCGAGCGAACGGGGAGGAGCCCAGAGCCUGAAUCAGUGUGUGUGUUAGUGGAAGCGUCUGGAAAGGCGCGCGAUACAGGGUGACAGCCCCGUACACAAAAAUGCACAUGCUGUGAGCUCGAUGAGUAGGGCGGGACACGUGGUAUCCUGUCUGAAUAUGGGGGGACCAUCCUCCAAGGCUAAAUACUCCUGACUGACCGAUAGUGAACCAGUACCGUGAGGGAAAGGCGAAAAGAACCCCGGCGAGGGGAGUGAAAAAGAACCUGAAACCGUGUACGUACAAGCAGUGGGAGCACAGAGCAAUCUGUGUGACUGCGUACCUUUUGUAUAAUGGGUCAGCGACUUAUAUUCUGUAGCAAGGUUAACCGAAUAGGGGAGCCGAAGGGAAACCGAGUCUUAACUGGGCGUUAAGUUGCAGGGUAUAGACCCGAAACCCGGUGAUCUAGCCAUGGGCAGGUUGAAGGUUGGGUAACACUAACUGGAGGACCGAACCGACUAAUGUUGAAAAAUUAGCGGAUGACUUGUGGCUGGGGGUGAAAGGCCAAUCAAACCGGGAGAUAGCUGGUUCUCCCCGAAAGCUAUUUAGGUAGCGCCUCGUGAAUUCAUCUCCGGGGGUAGAGCACUGUUUCGGCAAGGGGGUCAUCCCGACUUACCAACCCGAUGCAAACUGCGAAUACCGGAGAAUGUUAUCACGGGAGACACACGGCGGGUGCUAACGUCCGUCGUGAAGAGGGAAACAACCCAGACCGCCAGCUAAGGUCCCAAAGUCAUGGUUAAGUGGGAAACGAUGUGGGAAGGCCCAGACAGCCAGGAUGUUGGCUUAGAAGCAGCCAUCAUUUAAAGAAAGCGUAAUAGCUCACUGGUCGAGUCGGCCUGCGCGGAAGAUGUAACGGGGCUAAACCAUGCACCGAAGCUGCGGCAGCGACACUAUGUGUUGUUGGGUAGGGGAGCGUUCUGUAAGCCUGUGAAGGUGUGCUGUGAGGCAUGCUGGAGGUAUCAGAAGUGCGAAUGCUGACAUAAGUAACGAUAAAGCGGGUGAAAAGCCCGCUCGCCGGAAGACCAAGGGUUCCUGUCCAACGUUAAUCGGGGCAGGGUGAGUCGACCCCUAAGGCGAGGCCGAAAGGCGUAGUCGAUGGGAAACAGGUUAAUAUUCCUGUACUUGGUGUUACUGCGAAGGGGGGACGGAGAAGGCUAUGUUGGCCGGGCGACGGUUGUCCCGGUUUAAGCGUGUAGGCUGGUUUUCCAGGCAAAUCCGGAAAAUCAAGGCUGAGGCGUGAUGACGAGGCACUACGGUGCUGAAGCAACAAAUGCCCUGCUUCCAGGAAAAGCCUCUAAGCAUCAGGUAACAUCAAAUCGUACCCCAAACCGACACAGGUGGUCAGGUAGAGAAUACCAAGGCGCUUGAGAGAACUCGGGUGAAGGAACUAGGCAAAAUGGUGCCGUAACUUCGGGAGAAGGCACGCUGAUAUGUAGGUGAAGCGACUUGCUCGUGGAGCUGAAAUCAGUCGAAGAUACCAGCUGGCUGCAACUGUUUAUUAAAAACACAGCACUGUGCAAACACGAAAGUGGACGUAUACGGUGUGACGCCUGCCCGGUGC
This 1647-nucleotide ribosomal RNA is filed under the name Escherichia coli. Its description in RNAcentral is "partial 23S ribosomal RNA". It matches the Rfam family "Bacterial large subunit ribosomal RNA", at positions 199 to 1869 of the family's 2925-position model. Lineage: Bacteria; Pseudomonadati; Pseudomonadota; Gammaproteobacteria; Enterobacterales; Enterobacteriaceae. The record is from RNAcentral.